This is an RNA transcript of Cotesia glomerata, 1923 nucleotides long. RefSeq lists it as uncharacterized. NCBI's taxonomy places the organism in Eukaryota, Metazoa, Arthropoda, Insecta, Hymenoptera, Braconidae. The transcript has 10 exons. The record is from RefSeq and is a predicted model, not a curated record.
UGGUGGCAGUAGUAGUACCGUACCGUUUAUAUUAUCUUAGGUCGUACCAAUUCUCACGCUCCAUCUUUUAUGGUACCUGACGUUAAUAAUAUAAAUCAUGGAUGUAACGUUUCCAUCUGAAAUAUGGUUGGAGAUAUUUAAGUGGAUAAAACUGCCGAAAUUGAUGGAACUCAGGCUCGUGUGCCGACUUUUCUACCAUUUGAUAGAAUACAACUUAGAUGAAACCCAGGAGUGGAGAAGUUUGGCCUAUAAAACCCUGUACGAUGAUUGUUUGUAUACGACAAUGCAGCGGGCUUUCCCCUAUCAUAUCGUGACUGAGAAGGAUCAUCCGAUAUUGUGGCGUAGGACAUACUUGUCCUCCAAAAAGUGGAAGAAGGUCAUGGAAAAUGAGCAUAAGAAAGACUCGAUCAUUUUAGUGUCUUCUUGCAGCAAGAUUUCAUGUAUUAGGACUUUCGAUAAGUACAUAUCAAUUGCUUUAGACAAUGGCGUGAUAGAAAAUUACACUAUUGAUGACUUGAAAACGCCGUAUUCUUUAGCACAUCACAAUACCUAUAUCAAACAAAUUGUGUUUUGGUAUACCAAUGACGAAGUACUCAUCGUGACUGUUGGACAGGACAACGGUUUGAAGUUUUGGGAUCUUCAAAAUAAAAAAGAAAUAGUUACUACCGGUUUCUACGCUAAUUGCAUUAACUCUGGAGAAUGCCGGCAUUUUUGCAUCGGCGAAUGGGAUGGAAUUUUAACCUCUUAUGAGAAAAUCGACAACCAAAUAACAACUGGUUCAAAAUGUGAUUUACGUUUAAAUACAAACGAAAAAAUACUUAAUCAUGCUACCAACGGAAUAUCUAUGGCGGCACUUGCAUAUCAUGAUUAUAAAAUGAAGAUUUAUCAUUACUGUGCAAAAUUAGAAGGCAAACGUUUGAUUGGGUUCAACGUGACAUACGAAUCAUCAGAAGUUGAUGUGCCAGAACGUUUACUUUCUUCUCUGCAUGAAAUACUCAUAUUAACCAAUACCAUUUAUUUUAUAGUCGCAGAUGAAAAAAUCGUAACAACUCAUUUAAUCCGUCCCAAAUGGUAUAAUUUCAACUCGACCGAAUACUUUAAAUGUCGUGUCAGAUCAAUAGCGCUCCAUGCACAAAUUCUGAUGUUUGGUCUGGAAGAUGAAAACCUUAGGACGAUGUUAACACUAGGAUAUCCAAAACACGAGAGAGAGUACCUUCAGUAAUUUUUGAGUCUUCGAUUUUGGGCGGUUGCAAAGUGCAGGACAAUCUUUCGAACAUAUAUACGUUCAUACUCUCUAUACCUGCCCAUGUAUAGGCGCAUCUAUACAUGCACAAACGGAUACGUAUAUGUUGAGCCAAAAGAAGGGAUAUUAAUGUAAUUCAAUUGGAAUUUAUUGAUUAACAAUUGAACUUAUUCAUUUAUUUAUGACAGGUCUCAUUGCUGGAAAGAUUAUUUGAUACAUAAAGGUCAAGUAAUAGAAAAAAUAUAUGUCUGUCGUACAGAGUAUUUAAAAUUGGAGUACCUCAAUCCAAAAUUUAAAUAAUUUUUCCGGACAUAUUUUUUUCAUUUUAACCAAAGAAGAGCCAUGAGUUUUGUUCUGGCAAAAAAAAUUACUUCCAAUGUACGUCAAUCAAUGUUUGAUUUUUUAGUUGGCUUAAAGUUCCGAAGGAGAAAAAACUGCAGCUACACCGAAACCAAAGCCUUGUUUGUUAAAUUAAUUUUUCAUCACAGUUUAAUUGGAUACAUAAUUGUUUACAUGGAGAUGCAGGCAGUACGGAUAAUUUCCGGCCGAGUUACAGUGAACACCGCAAAUUGUUUUUUUUUCAAGACGUCCUAGGGGAAGCUCUGUCACGGGCUAAUGGUUUAAUAUUUUUGCAUGAAAAAUUUACAGAACAUAGUCAAAACUAUGCUCAAUAAUGUAUA